This 871-nucleotide ribosomal RNA is filed under the name Bacillus pumilus. RNAcentral's name for it is "bacterial SSU rRNA". It matches the Rfam family "Bacterial small subunit ribosomal RNA", at positions 57 to 911 of the family's 1533-position model. Lineage: Bacteria; Bacillati; Bacillota; Bacilli; Caryophanales; Bacillaceae. The record is from RNAcentral.
GCAGUCGAGCGGACAGAAGGGAGCUUGCUCCCGGAUGUUAGCGGCGGACGGGUGAGUAACACGUGGGUAACCUGCCUGUAAGACUGGGAUAACUCCGGGAAACCGGAGCUAAUACCGGAUAGUUCCUUGAACCGCAUGGUUCAAGGAUGAAAGACGGUUUCGGCUGUCACUUACAGAUGGACCCGCGGCGCAUUAGCUAGUUGGUGAGGUAACGGCUCACCAAGGCGACGAUGCGUAGCCGACCUGAGAGGGUGAUCGGCCACACUGGGACUGAGACACGGCCCAGACUCCUACGGGAGGCAGCAGUAGGGAAUCUUCCGCAAUGGACGAAAGUCUGACGGAGCAACGCCGCGUGAGUGAUGAAGGUUUUCGGAUCGUAAAGCUCUGUUGUUAGGGAAGAACAAGUGCAAGAGUAACUGCUUGCACCUUGACGGUACCUAACCAGAAAGCCACGGCUAACUACGUGCCAGCAGCCGCGGUAAUACGUAGGUGGCAAGCGUUGUCCGGAAUUAUUGGGCGUAAAGGGCUCGCAGGCGGUUUCUUAAGUCUGAUGUGAAAGCCCCCGGCUCAACCGGGGAGGGUCAUUGGAAACUGGGAAACUUGAGUGCAGAAGAGGAGAGUGGAAUUCCACGUGUAGCGGUGAAAUGCGUAGAGAUGUGGAGGAACACCAGUGGCGAAGGCGACUCUCUGGUCUGUAACUGACGCUGAGGAGCGAAAGCGUGGGGAGCGAACAGGAUUAGAUACCCUGGUAGUCCACGCCGUAAACGAUGAGUGCUAAGUGUUAGGGGGUUUCCGCCCCUUAGUGCUGCAGCUAACGCAUUAAGCACUCCGCCUGGGGAGUACGGUCGCAAGACUGAGACUCAAAGGAAUU